UGUAAACUUGUACUCUAAUUGAUGUCGUCCUUAAGUGUUUAUUAUUAAUUUACUUUUAGUUUUUGGGUAAAAUUAGAGAUUUUGUUAAUUGUUAUUUGAGGACAAAAAAUUUAGUGAGCAAGCCAGAUUAGUACCUGGUUAGAUAAAAGUUAAAAGAGCAGGAGUAAGGUUAUAUUUAAACUGUAAGAAUAUUGGCAGGUUUUUAAAUUAUCUUUGGAGGUUGAAUAGUAAUUGAGAGCCCUCAUUAUCUACUUUUAUUUUAGGCGCAUGUAUGAUCGUUUAUUUUAUUCUUGAGGAUUGUAAUUUUAGUUUAUAACUGUAAAAAUAGAUAUAUACUUGGUCUAUAUUAAAGUUUAUUUUGACCUACAAUAUUAUAUUUUUUGGAUAAUAUUUGUAGUGAAUAUUUGAAAUUGUAAAAGACAGUAAAAUCUUCUUAAUGUAGAUUUGAAGUUUAUUUAAAAACGGUACAAAUCAUCCAUCAAUUGCCCAUAGG
Molecule: non-coding RNA, 493 nt
Filed under: Contracaecum osculatum
Lineage: Eukaryota; Metazoa; Nematoda; Chromadorea; Rhabditida; Anisakidae
Source: RNAcentral